GCAGAGUAAAUGUUGUGCGUAAAGUGCCGCAGGAUGGAAUGUCGCCUGCGGACGAAGGAAUUAUUCCGCGGUACAACAUUGCAUUCGCUGU
RNAcentral lists this non-coding RNA (91 nucleotides) under pig gut metagenome. RNAcentral's name for it is "THF riboswitch". It matches the Rfam family "THF (Tetrahydrofolate) riboswitch aptamer". Rfam says of the family: THF riboswitch presents a pseudoknot that joins P1-P2 and the loop of P3 and two THF binding. The record is from RNAcentral.